RNAcentral lists this ribosomal RNA (254 nucleotides) under uncultured bacterium. RNAcentral describes it as "partial 16S ribosomal RNA". It matches the Rfam family "Bacterial small subunit ribosomal RNA", at positions 524 to 776 of the family's 1533-position model. The record is from RNAcentral.
UACGUAGGGGGCGAGCGUUGUCCGGAUUCAUUGGGCGUAAAGAGCUCGUAGGCGGUUCAGUAAGUCGGGUGUGAAAUCUCCGUGCUCAACACGGAGCGGCCACCUGAUACUGCUGUGACUCGAGUCCGGUAGGGGAGUGUGGAAUUCCCGGUGUAGCGGUGAAAUGCGCAGAUAUCGGGAGGAACACCGGUGGCGAAGGCGGUUCUCUGGGCCUUACCUGACGCUGAGGAGCGAAAGCGUGGGGAGCGAACAGG